RNAcentral lists this ribosomal RNA (491 nucleotides) under uncultured bacterium. RNAcentral's name for it is "partial 16S ribosomal RNA". It matches the Rfam family "Bacterial small subunit ribosomal RNA", at positions 29 to 507 of the family's 1533-position model. The record is from RNAcentral.
GUGAACGCUGGCGGUAGGCCUAACACAUGCAAGUCGAACGGCAGCACCGUAAGAGCUUGCUCUUACGGGUGGCGAGUGGCGGACGGGUGAGGAAUACAUCGGAAUCUACUUUUUCGUGGGGGAUAACGUAGGGAAACUUACGCUAAUACCGCAUACGACCUACGGGUGAAAGCAGGGGAUCUUCGGACCUUGCGCGAUUGAAUGAGCCGAUGUCGGAUUAGCUAGUUGGCGGGGUAAAGGCCCACCAAGGCGACGAUCCGUAGCUGGUCUGAGAGGAUGAUCAGCCACACUGGAACUGAGACACGGUCCAGACUCCUACGGGAGGCAGCAGUGGGGAAUAUUGGACAAUGGGCGCAAGCCUGAUCCAGCCAUACCGCGUGGGUGAAGAAGGCCUUCGGGUUGUAAAGCCCUUUUGUUGGGAAAGAAAAGCAGCAGGUUAAUACCCCGCUGUUCUGACGGUACCCAAAGAAUAAGCACCGGCUAACCUCGUG